This 319-nucleotide ribosomal RNA is filed under the name uncultured bacterium. Its description in RNAcentral is "bacterial SSU rRNA". It matches the Rfam family "Bacterial small subunit ribosomal RNA", at positions 28 to 334 of the family's 1533-position model. The record is from RNAcentral.
AACGAACGCUGGCGGCGUGGUUUAGGCAUGCAAGUCGAGCGCGAAAGUCACUUCGGUGGCGAGUAGAGCGGCGAAAGGGUGAGUAAUGCUUGGGCAACUUACCCUUGGACCGGGAUAGCCACUGGAAACGGUGGGUAAUACCGGAUGGUCUCGCGAGCACUGCGGUGUACGCGAGUAAACGCGGGGGUCUUCGGACCUCGCGCCGAGGGAGAGGCCCGAGUCCUACCAGCUUGUUGGUGAGGUAAUAGCUCACCAAGGCGAAGACGGGUAGCCGGACUGAGAGGUUGGCCGGCCACACUGGCACUGAGACACUGGCCAG